RNAcentral lists this ribosomal RNA (253 nucleotides) under uncultured bacterium. Its description in RNAcentral is "partial 16S ribosomal RNA". It matches the Rfam family "Bacterial small subunit ribosomal RNA", at positions 524 to 776 of the family's 1533-position model. The record is from RNAcentral.
UACGUAGGGUGCGAGCGUUAAUCGGAAUUACUGGGCGUAAAGCGUGCGCAGGCGGUGAGCUGUGUCCGAUGUGAAAGCCCCGGGCUUAACCUGGGAAUGGCAUUGGAAACUGGCUCGCUGGAGUGUGGCAGAGGGGGGUGGAAUUCCGCGUGUAGCAGUGAAAUGCGUAGAGAUGCGGAGGAACACCGAUGGCGAAGGCAGCCCCCUGGGCUAACACUGACGCUCAGGCACGAAAGCGCGGGGAGCAAGCAGG